UGCAUCUGCCAGGCAUUAUGUGGGUCCUUUGCAGCCCUGGUGCUGUGCCCAUUUUGCAGCUGCAGAAUUCACAGUCUCACAGGGAACCAGACUCUCAUGUGUGGUUAAAGCCCAGCGAUUCUGACCCCAGCAACUGCCCACCCAUUGCCACUCCCAGCUGGUAACAGGUUCUUCUGGGCUGGGCAGUACCCUGAAUUUAC
RNAcentral lists this long non-coding RNA (200 nucleotides) under Homo sapiens (human). Its description in RNAcentral is "LHRI_LNC83.1". Lineage: Eukaryota; Metazoa; Chordata; Mammalia; Primates; Hominidae. The record is from RNAcentral.